Molecule: long non-coding RNA, 2737 nt
Filed under: Sus scrofa (pig)
Lineage: Eukaryota; Metazoa; Chordata; Mammalia; Artiodactyla; Suidae
Description: lncRNA (ENSSSCG00035068215.1)
Source: RNAcentral
CGUUUUGGCUCAGUGAAACAAUCUGACAAGUAACCAAGAGGUUGUGGGUUCGAUCCCUGGCCUCACUCAGUGGGUUAAGGAUCCGGCAUUGCCGUGAGUGUGGUGUAGGUCGCACACUUGGCUUGGAUCCUGUGUUGCUGUGGUGUAGGCUGGCAGCCGUAGCUCCAGUUUGACCCCUAGCCAGGGAACCUCCAUAUGCUGUGGGUUCAGCCCUAAAAAAAGCAAAAAAAAAAAAAAUUUUUUUUUUUGGUCUGUAAAGUGAGGAUUUUUUUUUCUUUCUUUUUUAUUAUUAUGUUUUCUUUUUAGGGCCACACCUGCAGCAUAUGUAACUCCAAUUCGGCCCCUAGCCCAGGAACUUCCAUGUGCCGCGGAUGCGGCCCUUAAAAAAAAAAAAAGAAAGAAAGAUAAGACUUAGUUUCUUCUAUAGCCUCAUCUGAAACCCCUUUCCAAGACCAUGGGUCAUUGUCAUACUUAGCUCAGAGUUUUCUCAACAGCAAGGCCAAGACUAAUCCCUUCUCAUAAAUCCUCUAAGCUGUCAGCAAACAAACCCCUUCUUAACCAGUCUAACACAAAAGCCAUGAGCUAGGAAUACAGAGCCAGUACAUAGUUGCUUAAGGGCAGUUGAUUUUCAGUUUCCAGAUUACCAGUCUGUGCCUUCUUGUCUGUUCUUGGCCCAUAAAGUUGUAGGUGUCAUGCUGCAUAUUUCAGAGUGGCCCCUAGAUGUUGAACAGAUGCAGAAAGCUGUGAUUUCCCUAUUAUGAGAGAUCUAGGUACCUGUGGUUUCCACCCUCUGAUUAUUAGGUGAAAAAGAUUAAGACUGGCUGCUUUCAGGAUUGGAGUAAGUGAGACUAGAAAUACAUUUCUUUCUUAAAGCCUUUAUAUCCCUCCUGGAAGUACUUUCUGUGCUUUCUUUUGCAGCCAGAUCUGCUUGAUAAAAGGGGGAAGGGGAAGGGAUUGAUAUGGUGUGAAGAAGAUCCAGAUAAUCAAGAUCUUAAAAAAAUCAGUUUAUUGAAGUAUAAUAUCCGUACAAUAAAAAUCAUACAUUUUAAGUUUGCAGAUUGAUGAUUUUUGAACAGUUGAAUGCACCACCACCCAAACCAAAGUGCAGAACAUUUUAAAUUUUUUUAGGAAGUUUCUGUUUACUUUCGUAAUCAUUCAGCCUCCUCCCCCACAACGCCAUUGCAACCAGCCACUAAUCUGAUUUCUAGUACCGUAGACUAGUUUUGCCUGUUCUAGGAUUUUGUAUAAAAGGAAUCAUAUGGUAUACUUAUUUGUUAAGCUUCUUUCUCUCAGAAUAAAGUCUUUGAAAAUUGUCCUUGUUGUUGCAUGUAUUAGCAAUUUCUUUUUAUUGUUGAGUACUAUUUCACUGUAUGGCUAUACCACAAUUUGUUUAUUCAUCAAUUGAAGAAAUUUGAGUUAGUCCUGGUGUUGGGCUUUUAUUUUUUAAUUUAUUUUUAUUUUUUAUUUUUUUUAGGGCUACUCCCAUGGCAUAUGGAGGUUCCCAGACUAGAGGUCAAAUCGAAGCUGUAGCUGCUGGCCUACUCCACAGCCAUAGCAACGCCAGAUCCUUAACCCACUGAGCAAGGUCAGGGAUUGAACCUGUGUCCUCAUGGAUGCUAGUCAGAUUCGCUAACUGCUGAGCCAUGACAGGAACUCCAGUGUUGGGCUUUUAUAAAUAAAGCCGUGCACUACUUUUUAUGGCUUUCAUUUUUCUUGUAUAAAUACCUAAGAGUAGGGAGUUUGUGUCGUUACCUCAGUGGUAACGAACCGGAGUAUCCAUGAGGUUCUAUCCCUUGCCUUGCUCAGUGGGUUAAGGAUCUGGCAUUGUUAGGAGCUGUGGUGUAGGUCGCAGAUGCGGCUUGGAUCCCACAUUGCUGUGGCUGUGGUGUAGGUGGCAGCUGCAGGUCCAAUUUGACCCCUAGCCUGGGAACGAACUUCCAUAUGCUGAGGGUUCGGUCCUAAAAAGACAAAAAAAACCAAAAAACCCAUAAACAAAAAAUCUAAGAGUGGAAUUAACUGGCUCAUAUGAUAAGUGUAUAUUUAACUUUAUGAGAAACUAGCAAACUAUUUGCCUGAGUGGUUGUACCAUUUUAUACUCUGACGAGCAACGUAUGAGGGUACUAGUUGCUGCAAAUCCUUGCCAAAGCUUGAUAUUAUAUAUGUUUUUCAUUAUAGCAUUCUGAUGGGUACAAAGUAGUAAGUAUCUCAUUGUGAUUUUAAUUUUUGAUGCAGUUCCAACUGGUAUUUUUUAAAUUUCAAUUUUCCUUUAUUUGUUGCUAGUAUAUAGAAAUGCAGUUAAAUUUUGUAUAUGACUUUGAAUCAAAGUCAUUUAGUUCUAGCAGUUGUUUCUUUUGUUUUUGUGUUUUUUUUUUUUUUUUGAGGUAUCCUAGGAUUUUUUUACAUAAGCAGUAAUGUUAAUGUCACACUUAAUAACCUUAUUCAGUUUUAGGUGGUAAGGAUAGAAUCCACAUAAUCUGGAUUUGGGGCUCAUUUAGCUUUUUGGAUAUUUGAAUGCCUUAUCUUUUUUUUUUUUUUGUCUUUUGUCUUUUUGGGGCCACACCCCGCAGCAUAUAGAGGUUCCCAGGCGAGGGAUCGAAUCGGAGCUGUAGCUGCCAGCCUAUACCACAGCCACAGCAAUACAGGAUCUACCCAAGUCUUCGACCUACACCAGAGCUCACAGCAAGCCGGGUCCUUAACCAGCUGAGAGAGGCCAGGGAUUGAACCCUCAUAGUCAUGG